CCUACGGGGGACAGCAGUGAGGAAUAUUGGUCAAUGGACGAGAGUCUGAACCAGCCAAGUAGCGUGAAGGAUGACUGCCCUAUGGGUUGUAAACUUCUUUUAUAUGGGAAUAAAAUGUUCCACGUGUGGGAUUUUGUAUGUACCAUAUGAAUAAGGAUCGGCUAACUCCGUGCCAGCAGCCGCGGUAAUACGGAGGAUCCGAGCGUUAUCCGGAUUUAUUGGGUUUAAAGGGAGCGUAGGUGGAUUGUUAAGUCAGUUGUGAAAGUUUGCGGCUCAACCGUAAAAUUGCAGUUGAAACUGGCAGUCUUGAGUACAGUAGAGGUGGGCAGAAUUCGUGGUGUAGCGGUGAAAUGCUUAGAUAUCACGAAGAACUCCGAUUGCGAAGGCAGUUCACUGGACUGCAACUGACACUGAGGCUCGAAAGUGUGGGUAUCAAACAGGAUUAGAUACCCCAGUAGUC
Molecule: ribosomal RNA, 460 nt
Filed under: uncultured bacterium
Lineage: Bacteria
Description: partial 16S ribosomal RNA
Rfam family: Bacterial small subunit ribosomal RNA
Source: RNAcentral